AUAAACGCUAAAACAAAAAAAGAACGUUACAUUAGAUUAUAUGUAGAUUUUAUAAUAACGGUAACUAAUUAUUAAAAUGCGGACAUUUAUACAUUUAUGAGAAAUUUAAAAGUGCAAAACGUAUACACAGAAUGCAUAGAAUGUACAAAAGUAUAUAAAAUAUUGGAUUGUUAGAAAAAUUCGUAACGAGUGUUAAGAAACAUUUAACUAGAAUUAGACUUUCUAUCAUCUUUUCCUUUCUUACGUAUGAAUUCAUUCAAAUAGCUUUUAUAGGAUUCCAGAGUAUUUCACGAAUUUUGUAAGUUAUGAGAUAUUUCAAAUAAAGUCUAUACUACAUUGUAAAUUUAGAAAAAUAUAAUAUCUAUAUAAAAUUAUAACGUAUUAAAUAUAGGUCUCUAUCAAAAAUUAUAAUAUGAUUUUAAUCAGCUAUGAAACAAAAUUUAAUAAAUGCUAUGUUACAUUGUGUAACGAGUUAAUGAUAUACCUGAAAUUUAACUUUGGAAUCUUUAUAUAUGAACAAUAUGCAUAGAUUAAAUUUAUUUCAAUGCACUUAGCAAGGAAUUAUGUCAACUAAGAAUCAACUUUUCAUGACACGUGCAUAUUUUCUGUAUAACAUUCUAUAUGCGAGAACACACCUUAAUGCUGUGAAUGACAUGUUUUUAAAGAGAGAAAGUGAAUGGAGAAACUGGUUUCGGCGGGACAAUUAUUUCUUGACUCGUGAUAACGUUGACCCAAUCGUUUUUACUCCUUACAUUUAUGCUUUUUUCAUUUUAUUACCAUAUUCAUUGCUUCUUUCAGUCGGCUAUUUGUACUGCGCAUUGUUGGAAAAAAGUCUAGCGGAGCGGCACAGGGACAAGGAAGCUACUGCGCUGUAUUGUUUGCCGUCUCGCGUUGUUGUAUUAUUUUACUUGUAUUAGAUCGUCCAAAAAGUUUCUUUCGCUUUAUAAGGAAAUAAUGGAUGCACAGCAUUUUCCGUUUUAUAUUAUUUUAUCGAAUUACAUAUGAUCCAUUUUGUUCAAAAAUCAAAAUAAAGAUCACAACGUUCGACAGAUUAGUUUUCACAUUUGUAUAAAGAUGCGUCGUUGUAAAAGACGUGUCUGUAAAAGAAAGACACUUUUCGGACAACCUAAUAUAUGUAACACUUUCGGGUAGUACGCGUGCUUAUCUUUAUGAUUGUACUGAGUCUAUACGAAAUAACGUUAAUCUUCCCUUCAUACAGUAGCUCACAAAAGUAUUUAAACAGUUAUUGAAACUUUUUAUAGAUAUACUAUGUGUGUUAUACGAAAAAUUUUGAAAUUUCAUUAACACUGUAACAAGAGUCGAUUAUGAUGAUCAUGCUGUUAAAGUUUGAAACAAAUCUGAAAAAAUGCAUAGAAGUUACUAAAUGUUUAAUGCAAGUAUAUAUAUUUACUUAUAUAUAUAUAUCUUGCAGAAAUCACAAAAAUGUUUAUAUAGUCAAUUAUCUAUUAAUAUACCUAAUAUUGAGACAUAAGCUUCAUUGGUAAUAUUGGUAAUAUUGGUAAUAUUGGUAAUAUUGGUAAGCCUAAAUAUUUAAUAGGAUCAUUUUGAACAUUUAUCAGCUACUUAUGCUACGUAUUAAUCUUUUACUAAAUGUGUGAUAUUUACGCAGUAAAUGCAUGUACUUGCAUAUAAAUUUUCAGAUUGAUCCUAAAUAUGAUGAAUAUAAUCAAGACAGUUGCAUAUCAUUACAGUGUUAAUGAAAUUGCAAAAUAUUUUAUAUAACAUAUACGAUAUGAACAUAAAAGUUUCGUAAAUACGUACAUACUUUGUUCAGAUAUCUUAGGUGAACUAUUAUAUGAUAGUGUAUAUAACCUUCAUUGUUGGACGGUCAAUUAACGCCUUCGAGAAAUAAAGUUCUCACUUCAACUUUACGUUCACAGUGACCGUGCAAGAUGUAGGAGACAUGGAACGAGGAAAAAAUAAGAUUUAAUUUAAAGAGAUUUUGAAUCUCGUCUGUAUCAUUUCCAACGGUCGUUAAUAGCAAUCGAAUGAUGGGGGCGCUGCACGCACAACGUUCUCUUUCAUUUACGCGCUAUUAAGCAAACGAUACAUUUCCCGCUAUCUUUUUGAUCUAAACGCCACAUAAAGGCCCGAGUAUUGAGAUACAAAAGUAAUGUUUUCUUUUUUCCAUCUCAUAGUUAUCAAUCGAACUGAUUCAGUAAUUGGUGUAUUUUCGUUUCGCUGGGUCAUUGUACCAAGUAAAAUCGUCACAGAUAUAUCGUAGCUAAAAAUACGUUGGUACUUAAAAAGAUAAGUAGCAUUUCGGGUAAAAAUAACUCAAACCAAAAUUAUCUAUUGAAAACGAGAAAUAAAGAGACAGUUACUUAAUAGAUAGGAUGCUUCUCGUAACUGGACCAAGGCAUAAUUUUAAAAUAUGUAAUAAGCAAUACACGAAGCUUUCAUUGAGCAAAAUUAAAUGUUUUCGCGUAGUGCGUCAUGUGAUUAUACAGAAGUGAAGGUGUUUCGAAGAUUUCAAAGUAAUCUCCAUUUUUUAAAAUUGUAUAUGCUUCCAUAUACAGUCCAUUUGACUGGUGAUUUAUUUUAGUGAGUUCCAGAGACCAAUUAUGUACUUGCAUAUGAAACUAGUUUUUUUCGCGUAACUAUUCCCGCUAAUUCAACCUUGACUGUGGCGUUGCUGAACAAAAAAAAAAAAAAAAAAAAAAAAAGUUUGUGGAGAUUGGUUCAAGAUAAACAACGAGAGAAAAAGAGAUUCUUCUCCAAGCACUUCGACAAUGUUAUUUUUUUUCAAAUUAUAAACAUGCUCAAAGGUAUUCGAACUAUGUUCCUCUUUAUAAAUAUCGAAAGAUAACUUCAGCAACGAAUUAUAUACGUACUACAAUGUUUGGAUCUUUUCAUAUCUGAAUUGCAAAUGUAGUAUAUAGUGUACAUUAAUCAUCAGAGGUCUAUCAAUGGGUACAAAGUAUAACUGUAUCUUGUAAAAAAGUGUAUGGCAUUGGUUAGGUAAAUUGGAUAAAAAUCGUGGAUUUCAAAUAUACAUUUGAAAAUAAGAAUAAACCAGAUGCUAUACUGAUUCUAAUUAUACAUUUAUAUUUGUUCUAUACUAUUCUCAUUAUCUGUUUCAGAGGCAGCGAAAAAAUCAAAUGAAUUCUAAUAAUGCUCUUGAAAUUAAUUCAUAGAUUGUCAUAAAUAUAAAAAGAAAAGUUCUUUUAGGUAUAGAAAAUAAAAAGAGAAAUUCCUUUAGGUAUAGUUUCCUAUAAAUGUCUAUUGGAAACACUUGCAAUGAAAUUUUCCGUAAAAAGACCAUAACGAAUUGCCUACAAUGCCAUUGGGUAUGUUGCAACUAAUAUAGUUCAGAGAUACGUGCCAAUAUCACUAAAAAUACAGGGACCGUAGAACGCAUAGAGAGCUUGCUGUUACGGCUCACACACGAAAUUAAAUAUUCACGCUGCUAAAUCAGAGUGAUAUAUAAGUUGUUACUUGCAAAAAAUGACUAACAUAAUCUGAUACGUCCGAGGAAUACCUACAUCACGCCAUUAUGCACGAAUAUGCACGAGAUUAACAAAUUGCCGGGAACUUUGCGCUAGCAUGUUCGUGUGAGUUAUGAAUACCCAUAAGAUAAAGAAUAGAUACAGUGAGUCACAAACAUUUAUAUACACUAAAAGCACUCUUUGCCGUUUUUCAUGUUUAUAUCUUAAUAUAAUCUGAAAUUUUUUUGGUAUAUUGAUGUAUUUCUAGAAAGAAUUAAAGAGAUAUAAAAGUAUUGUAACUUAUAAAAGUUCAAGGAUGCCAUGUAAGAAAUUACAACCUUAAAUUUUAUCAAUACAGGAUCGAUAAGAUUGCAGGCCGUUAGUAAUGUAUAUCAAGAAGAUAUACCUAUGAGAGAUUAAUUUAAUAUUUAAUAUCUGUUUUAUGAUUUCAUAUAGAUAUAACAGGCGUAUAUAUUCUUUUGUGAGAUUGUAUUUUGUAUUAUUUUUUUACCUCCUGAAGGAUUGUGUUAUUUUUCCAAAUAUGUAUUUGGCUCUAUUAAUACAAAAUUUAAUUUGAAACAAAAUUGCUGGAGCUAAUGUCUUCAUUUUUAUGUAAAAGAUGUAUGUGUACUUUUGUUACUAACUGUACAUCGUGUUAAAAUGAAAUACAGGAGAAGUAUUAAGCAAAAGUUUAAAAAUAUGAUAUCAUCAUAAAAUAUAGAGUCUAUUGUGACAUAAAAUAAGAAAAAGAGGAAAUUGAGAUUAUUUCUUUAUGCAUAGUUUAGCUCAACAAGUUGAACUAAAAACAAGGAAAAGAAAACCGUAUAAAUAUAAAUAAUUGUUAGGUGAAAUUAAAUGAAUUUAAUUCAUUCACAUUCAUAUACAAAGCAGCAGACAUAUGCCGAUGAAUAAUUAUAAAUGUGCAACUGUAUUUACCAUUUUGGAGCAGUUUGGAGGAGUGUGCGUUUGAACGCGCGAACUCAUAACGAAGAUCAACAAUCUACACUCUUCACGGAAUAAAGGAAAAAAAAAUAAGAAGAAUCAGAUGAAAAAGCACUUUUCGAGGAGAAGACACCAGUAUUUAGUCUAAUAUUACGAUAAUGAAAAGAUUGGAUAACGAAAUAUGUACUUGGCAUACAACUAAAUUAUGUUAAAUGACAGCGGUGAAAGACACCAGUAUACUGAAUAAGAACGCCGCGAAACGGCAUCGACAAACAUCAACGACAAACCACGAAGUUAGCCGACGAUCGCCGAACAUUUUCGGUCAUCUGUGGAUUCUUAAAACUAUGAUUUUAAGAUGACUACAUGUUAUAUAUAUCUUAUACGAUAUCCAAAUGAUGAAUGUGAAUGAAAUUUGCUUAUGUAAGUUAUUGAUGACUUUAAACAGGUUUUUAUAGCGUUAUAAUAAAACCUUCUCUCCUAUGCUAAAGAUUAUAUACUUAUGAUUUCCCUUCCAUUUAGAUCAGUUAUUUUCAAAUGAAGAUAUAUUACAAGAAUCGCGUGUAUUUGAUUUGAGGAAUAAAGAGACGCAUUUUGAAAGAAUGAAAAGAUCAUUAUUUCCAAUGCAGUGAAUAAAUCAGUAUAAUAAAUCAGGAACAGGAUUUUCAUUAGAUAUCAUAAAUAAAGUUCUUUUAAAUUUAAAAUUGCAUACCCAUUAUGGGAAACAUAGGUUUCAAGUUAUACAGAUUUUCGAAGAUAAACUGAAAGCAAUCACGUAUCUUCUUGCAACAGCAAUUGCAACAGUUUCGUUUACAUCAUACAUCUACAUCAAAGAACGGGUGAAAAUGUAAACUAAUAUUUGACCAAUGUUAAAACAAAUUUAUCGUCCUUUUAACGAUUUGUAAACAUUUUUAACAGCUUAAAUUUUGUAACUACGUAUAAAAGACUCAUCAAGCGGAUAAUAGAAAAACAUAUACAGUAGCUAUAAAUUGCACAGAAAGUUAAUUUAUGAUAUAGAAAUUUUGGAAAGCUUCAUUCUGAAAUACAAUACAAGGCUCAUAGAGAAGUUAUAGGCGCGAAAUAAUUUCCGCUAAAGAAAACUGGGGAGCAAUAUAGCUGGUAGGUAAUUUUACUUAUGGGCUUCUCCUCAUGGCAAGCGUCCAGGAUCAUUUCCAUCGAAGAGAAACGCGUCGCCCGCAGUCAUGGUCAGGGUAUCCCUAACCUACUUGCAUUGCUACCGACUGAUCUAUUUAAAACCUGAUCCCUACAGUGAAAAUUCACUUUGAAAUGAAACUGUUCACUUGUUUUGAUAUUACCCUCGCUUCGACCGACAUCAGGCUCGUUGAUAAAUUUCUGAUCAUAAACAAAUAUAAUAUACUCAGAAUUAAUAUACUCUUUUAUAUAAUUGUCUAGAAAAUUAUCUGGAUGAUUAUUUAUAAACUUAUUUAUUAUCUACCACUACUAUUAUUUAAUUAAUCAUAGAAGUAAACAUUACCUAAAAAUUUGCCUACAGAGAUUUUGACGAACCUGUCCUUGAUCGAAACAAAAACUCUUAACUGCGAGAUUGAUUUACAAGAAACCGUUCCAAUAUAAGGCACCUAAGCUUGAUUUAUCGCAGUUCGCAGGAAUUCCGCCUGAAAAAUCAAUCGCUUCGAGGGAACGACAAUUUUAGAAUACAUUCUUAUACCGUUUUAAAGAUAUCCAAUAAUAACCAUGGAAAAAUAUUUUAAUCCCUAGAUAUAAAAUUUACUUAGCUAAAUAUAAAAUUGUAAAGUUUCACGCAACUUAUCCGCUUUUGUUCUCUACUAUUUUACCCAACAUCUUAGAGGAUUAUUAUAUUGACUACAAAUUAGAUAAGCCAACAAGGAGCAUAUUUCGCAGGAGCAAAAGGGUUUCAUGAUAUAGUUGAAACAAUUAAUUAGUCGGCAAUGCACAUUGAAGAAGUGUGAUGCGCGUAGAGAUUAAUUGCAAGAAAUCGUACCGAGUUGUUAAGCCCAUUACCUCGAGAUAUGAAUGUCCUAGAAUCUCAAUUAAUAACGUCAUUCGUUUGUGCGCCGCCUUUUCGUUAUAGAAUUUCUGCGAAUUUUCAAUGGGAAGUUCUUAUUUUCUUAUUAUUGCAUUCCUCGUGUUCAUAACAAAUUAUUCACGGUAUCCUGUUAUUACUUGGGAAUCAUUGACUGCACGCCGGUUUCUAUACAAAUUUAUAAAUAUAGCAAUGUCGGAUGAUUGGAUCUAGGAAAUUCUACAUUUUUUUUUGGAUAGUAUUUUUAUCACGGAAUGAUAAAAAAUUGUAAUAUGGUAGAAUUAGAAGAACAAAAUAGAAGAAUUAAUUACAGAAGAAUAUUAUAGAUUUCACUAAUGAAAUAUUAAUAAUAUCAUAUAUGUAACAUUGUAAUCAUGAAAUCGUUAAAUAAAAAAGAUACUGUUGAUAGUCAUGUAUAUUAACUCUAAGGUGAUAAGGGAGAUGAGCAUAUAUGAUCAAUAAUUUGUAGAACUUUCGUAAUUGUUAAAGAACAAAACGAAUAGCAGCAAGUAGGCGUACGUUACAUCAUGGCAAAUACAUAAUACCAUGUUGUUAUCGUCGAAAUAAGGAGAGUGAAGAAAGUUUCGUAACAAUAUUUUUUCAAGGUAGAUUUUAUAUCAUGAAACAUAUAGCCUGAAUAAAAUAUAACUUAAAUUUGCAAA
This is a long non-coding RNA of Bombus terrestris (buff-tailed bumblebee), 7073 nucleotides long. RefSeq lists it as uncharacterized. The record is from RefSeq and is a predicted model, not a curated record. The transcript is spliced from 3 exons. NCBI's taxonomy places the organism in Eukaryota, Metazoa, Arthropoda, Insecta, Hymenoptera, Apidae.